This 459-nucleotide ribosomal RNA is filed under the name uncultured bacterium. Its description in RNAcentral is "partial 16S ribosomal RNA". It matches the Rfam family "Bacterial small subunit ribosomal RNA", at positions 338 to 795 of the family's 1533-position model. The record is from RNAcentral.
CCUACGGGCGGCAGCAGUGAGGAAUCUUGGUCAAUGGGCGCGAGCCUGAACCAGCCACGUCGCGUGAGGGAAGACGGUCCUAUGGUUUGUAAACCUCUUUUGUCGGGGAGCAAAAGACGCCACGUGUGGCGUCCCGAGAGUACCCGAACAAAAAGCAUCGGCUAACUCCUUGCCAUCCGCCGCGGUACUACGGGGGAUGCGAGCGUUAUCGGGAUUUAUUGGGUUUAAGGGGUGCGCAGGGGGGAGAUCAGGUCAGCGGUAAAAUUGAGAGGCUCAACCUCGUCGAGCCGUUGAAACUGGUAUACUUGAGUGAAGGAGAGGUAUGCGGAAUGCGUGGUGUAGCGGUGAAAUGCAUAGAUAUAACGCAGAACUCCGAUGGCGAAGGCAGCAUACCGGCGCUCAACUGACGCUCAUGCACGAAAGUGUGGGUAUCGAACAGGAUUAGAUACCCUUGUAGUC